GACCUGGAUCCAUGCGGCUCCAACGCCCGAACCGUGUCAGAACCGGAAGGUAGCAGCACUAAGGGAUGCUUGUAGCAGGCGUGGUCUCCGGGUCUUU
Molecule: signal recognition particle RNA, 97 nt
Filed under: Gloeomargaritaceae cyanobacterium C42_A2020_066
Lineage: Bacteria; Bacillati; Cyanobacteriota; Cyanophyceae; Gloeomargaritales; Gloeomargaritaceae
Description: Bacterial small signal recognition particle RNA
Rfam family: Bacterial small signal recognition particle RNA
About the family: The signal recognition particle (SRP) is a universally conserved ribonucleoprotein involved in the co-translational targeting of proteins to membranes. Archaeal SRP consists of a 7S RNA and homologues of the eukaryotic SRP19 and SRP54 proteins. In most bacteria, the SRP consists of a 4.5S RNA and the Ffh protein (a homologue of the eukaryotic SRP54 protein).
Source: Rfam by way of RNAcentral